RNAcentral lists this unclassified non-coding RNA (325 nucleotides) under Hevea brasiliensis (rubber tree). Lineage: Eukaryota; Viridiplantae; Streptophyta; Magnoliopsida; Malpighiales; Euphorbiaceae. The record is from RNAcentral.
GUAUUGGUAUUCAUUUGGGAAGUUGAGAAUGGCCAAAUGACCACGAAAAGCAAAAGCAGCUCUAUCAUAAGCUCUGGCAGCCUCCUCCUCCGUCUCAAACGUUCCUAGCCAGCGGCGUGCACCGUUCCUUGUUGGGUCACGUAUCUCUGCAGCAAACUUCCCCCAAGGCCGUCGGCGAAUCCCCCUGUACCGAGGCUCUCCGGUUGCCCUAUGUUGCUUCUUUGUACUCUUGUUCCCUGCUUGAGAUGCUUCUUCCAUAUUCUUGUUUUUCAGGCAGUGAUGGAGGUAGAGGAACUAACUAAACGGUCUUUGAUUUCAAUUCUGG